UGGGGAAUAUUGCACAAUGGGGGAAACCCUGAUGCAGCGACGCCGCGUGAACGAAGAAGGUAUCCGUAUCGUAAAGUUCUGUCCUAUGGGAAGAUAAUGACAGUACCAUAGAAGAAAGCUCCGGCUAAAUACGUGCCAGCAGCCGCGGUAAUACGUAUGGAGCGAGCGUUGUCCGGAAUUAUUGGGCGUAAAGGGUACGCAGGCGGUUUAAUAAGUCGAAUGUUAAAGAUCGGGGCUCAACCCCGUAAAGCAUUGGAAACUGAUAAACUUGAGUAGUGGAGAGGAAAGUGGAAUUCCUAGUGUAGUGGUGAAAUACGUAGAUAUUAGGAGGAAUACCAGUAGCGAAGGCGACUUUCUGGACACAAACUGACGCUGAGGUACGAAAGCGUGGGGAGCAAACAGG
Molecule: ribosomal RNA, 403 nt
Filed under: bacterium
Lineage: Bacteria
Description: partial 16S ribosomal RNA
Rfam family: Bacterial small subunit ribosomal RNA
Source: RNAcentral